UAAUACGAAGGGGGCUAGCGUUGUUCGGAAUUACUGGGCGUAAAGCGCACGUAGGCGGAUCGAUAAGUAAGAGGUGAAAUCCCAGAGCUCAACUCUGGAACUGCCUUUUAAACUGUCGAUCUGGAGCAGAGUAGAGGUGAGUGGAAUUCCGAGUGUAGAGGUGAAAUUCGUAGAUAUUCGGAGGAACACCAGUGGCGAAGGCGGCUCACUGGACUCUUGCUGACGCUGAGGUGCGAAAGCGUGGGGAGCAAACAGG
This 256-nucleotide ribosomal RNA is filed under the name uncultured bacterium. Its description in RNAcentral is "partial 16S ribosomal RNA". It matches the Rfam family "Bacterial small subunit ribosomal RNA", at positions 521 to 776 of the family's 1533-position model. The record is from RNAcentral.